Molecule: unclassified non-coding RNA, 351 nt
Filed under: soil metagenome
Description: partial contains 5.8S ribosomal RNA, internal transcribed spacer 2, and large subunit ribosomal RNA
Rfam family: 5.8S ribosomal RNA (bases 1-121)
Source: RNAcentral
GAUGAAGAACGUAGCGAAUUGCGAUAAGUAAUGUGAAUUGCAGAUUUUCAGUGAAUCAUCGAAUCUUUGAACGCACAUUGCGCCCGCCAGUAUUCUGGCGGGCAUGCCUGUCCGAGCGUCAUUUCAACCCUCGAACCCCUCCGGGGGGUCGGCGUUGGGGAUCGGCCCUUUACGGGGCCGGCCCCGAAAUACAGUGGCGGUCUCGCCGCAGCCUCUCCUGCGCAGUAGUUUGCACACUCGCAUCGGGAGCGCGGCGCGUCCACAGCCGUUAAACACCCCAAACUUCUGAAAUGUUGACCUCGGAUCAGGUAGGAAUACCCGCUGAACUUAAGCAUAUCAAUAAGCGGAGGA